This 456-nucleotide ribosomal RNA is filed under the name uncultured bacterium. RNAcentral's name for it is "SSU rRNA". It matches the Rfam family "Bacterial small subunit ribosomal RNA", at positions 26 to 518 of the family's 1533-position model. The record is from RNAcentral.
AGGAUGAACGCUGGCGGCGUGCCUAAUACAUGCAAGUCGAGCGGUAAGGCUCCUUCGGGAGUACACGAGCGGCGGACGGCUGAGUAACACGUAGGAACGUACCCCAAACUGAGGGAUAAGCACCAGAAAUGGUGUCUAAUACCGCAUGUGGUCUUCGGAUUAAAGCUUCGGCGGUUUGGGAACGGCCUGCGCAUGAUUAGCUUGUUGGUGAGGUAAUUGCUCACCAAGGCGACGAUCAUUAGCUGGUCUGAGAGGAUGAUCAGCCAGACUGGGACUGAGAACGGCCCAGACUCCUACGGGAGGCAGCAGUAGGGAAUUUUCCACAAUGGGCGAAAGCCUGAUGGAGCAACGCCGCGUGCAGGACGAAGGCCUUCGGGUUGUAAACUGCUUUUAUAUGUGACGAUUAUGACGGUAGCAUAUAGAAUAAGGAUCGGCUAACUCCGUGCCAGCAGCCGC